This 440-nucleotide ribosomal RNA is filed under the name uncultured bacterium. RNAcentral describes it as "partial 16S ribosomal RNA". It matches the Rfam family "Bacterial small subunit ribosomal RNA", at positions 338 to 795 of the family's 1533-position model. The record is from RNAcentral.
CCUACGGGGGGCAGCAGUGGGGGAUAUUGCACAAUGGGGGAAACCCUGAUGCAGCGACGCCGCGUGGGUGAAGAAGCGCCUCGGCGCGUAAAGCCCUGUCAGCCGGGAAGCAAAUGACGGUACCUGAAGCAGAAGCCCCGGCUAACUACGUGCCAGCAGCGGCGGUGAUAAGUAGGGGGCAAGCGUUAUCCGGAUUUACUGGGCGUAAGGGGGGCGCAGACGGCGAUGCAAGCCAGGCGUGAAAGCCCGGGGCCCAACCCCGGGACUGCCCUUGGAACUGCGUGGCGAGAGUGCAGGAGGGGCAGGCGGAAUGCCUGGUGUAGCGGUGAAAUGCGUAGAUAUCAGGAGGAACACCGGUGGCGAAGGCGGCCUGCUGGACUGCAACUGACGUUGAGGCCCGAAAGCGUGGGGAGCAAACAGGAUUAGAUACCCCUGUAGUC